This 236-nucleotide ribosomal RNA is filed under the name uncultured bacterium. RNAcentral describes it as "partial 16S ribosomal RNA". It matches the Rfam family "Bacterial small subunit ribosomal RNA", at positions 15 to 240 of the family's 1533-position model. The record is from RNAcentral.
GAUCAUGGCUCAGGAUGAACGCUAGCGACAGGCCUAACACAUGCAAGUCGAGGGGCAGCGGAGAGGUAGCAAUACCUUUGCCGGCGACCGUCGCACGGGUGAGUAACACGUAUGCAAUACACCUGUAACAGGGGGAUAACCCGGAGAAAUCCGGACUAAUACCCCAUAAUAUGGGCUCUCCGCAUGGAGGGUCCAUUAAAGAGAGCAAUUUUGGUUACAGACGAGCAUGCGCUCCA